RNAcentral lists this long non-coding RNA (409 nucleotides) under Populus tremula. RNAcentral's name for it is "long non-coding RNA (PTRE_LNC000125)". Lineage: Eukaryota; Viridiplantae; Streptophyta; Magnoliopsida; Malpighiales; Salicaceae. The record is from RNAcentral.
UUGGAAACCAUUCUCAAGAUCCAUAAGCCAUAGAUGGAGCAAGAAGGAAGAGAUGAUCCGCCCGAUCAAGGUCAGCCCUUGAAAUUCCCAAACCUGUAUACGUUCCUUUAUUGAAUUGAAAAGGUGGAAUUUUGAUGAAGGAUAAGCCCACUGUGAGUAGAAAUUAUUUGGUAAAGAAAGAGAGGCAAGCCAAAACCGUCCUUGGCUUGCCUGGGUUUUCAUGUUCUUAACUAUGAGUGGAGAUUAGUAUACAUGUCAACACAUGAAAACCCAAGCGAGCCAAGGACGAGUUGGGCUGCAACAUACGCAACCGAGUUAACAACCAGGGUGAGUCCGAGUCUCUCCUUCAGGCGUUUACACAGUUGUUGCUUCUUAUGGAGAGAGAGAGGAUGGAGCUGUGAAGUGGAGG